Molecule: non-coding RNA, 72 nt
Organism: Phrynosoma platyrhinos (Desert horned lizard)
Lineage: Eukaryota; Metazoa; Chordata; Lepidosauria; Squamata; Phrynosomatidae
Source: the annotation of a GenBank genome assembly
GCCAAUGUGAUGUAGUGGUUUGAGCGUUAGACUGUGACUCUGGAGACAAGAGUUCAAAUCCCUGCUUGGCCA